Molecule: long non-coding RNA, 753 nt
Organism: Passer domesticus (house sparrow)
Lineage: Eukaryota; Metazoa; Chordata; Aves; Passeriformes; Passeridae
Exons: 3
Source: RefSeq, a predicted model, not a curated record
CGCUGCGGGACGGCGACAACCACCCUGCAGUGUCCGUGAGGAGACAACAGGGGUGGAGCCGCCCCGUCGAACCGCGCAGAAGCCGCUGGCAGGCACCGCUCCGCAGUCGCGCCGCUGGGACUACAACUCCCGGCGUGCCCCGGGGCAGCGGCGCAUGGAGCGCGCUGAUUGGCCCGCGGGGGUGUGGGGGGGCAGCGCAGCGCGGGCGCCCCCAUGUGGCGGCUCGGCCGGGCCGGGACCCCCCCGGGAUAGCCCGGGACAAACCGGGACAAACCGGGAUAACCCGGGACAAACCGAAACAGCUCGGCUGCCUCCCGCUCCCGUGCCACGGGCCUCGCCCGGGCUGCCUGAAUGGACCCCGUGCUGAGUGCGGUGGCUGGGAACGGGGCCAGCUCUCUGCCUGUCCCCUGACACCCUGGGCACAGGAUUUUCCCUCGUAUCCCUAUUCCUCUUGGUCGCUUCCCUCCCCUCUCGCUUUCCUUUCCCGUCCCUUCCCAGAUGACGGUGAGCGGGAGGAGCUCUGGGACACAGCAGGGAGAUUCCUCCCUUCCCAGGCAGCCUCUGGCAGGCAGUGCUGGAACACGAUGGGAAUGUUAACAAAAUUCCUGGAAUCUUCAUGGAGAGAGCUGUAAAGGACAGCAUCACUCAAAGUGCAACAGAACUGAAAUUGCAGCUGAUUAACCUUUGAUUUAUUUCCUGGUUUAUGGUAUAACACAAGUUUUUUCAGGUGAAAUAAAGAUGCUUUUUUAAUCA